CCGGCCUGAGAGGGCGACCGGCCACACUGGGACUGAGACACGGCCCAGACUCCUACGGGAGGCAGCAGUGGGGAAUAUUGCACAAUGGGGGAAACCCUGAUGCAGCGACGCCGCGUGGGGGAUGAAGGCCUUCGGGUUGUAAACCCCUUUCAGUAGGGAACAAGGCCAUGAUUGUUGUUGUGGUUGAGGGUACUUGCAGAAGAAGCGCCGGCUAACUACGUGCCAGCAGCCGCGGUAAUACGUAGGGCGCAAGCGUUGUCCGGAAUUAUUGGGCGUAAAGAGCUCGUAGGCGGUUUGUCGCGUCUGCCGUGAAAUCCCGAUGCUUAACGUCGGGCUUGCGGUGGGUACGGGCAGGCUAGAGUGCGGUAGGGGUGACUGGAAUUCCUGGUGUAGCGGUGGAAUGCGCAGAUAUCAGGAGGAACACCGAUGGCGAAGGCAGGUCACUGGGCCGUUACUGACGCUGAGGAGCGAAAGCAUGGGGAGCGAACAGGAUUAGAUACCCUGGUAGUCCAUGCCGUAAACGUUGGGCACUAGGUGUGGGGAUUGUUCCACGAUUCCUGUACCGUAGCUAACGCAUUAAGUGCCCCGCCUGGGGGAGUACGGA
This 604-nucleotide ribosomal RNA is filed under the name Jonesia sp. RNAcentral describes it as "bacterial SSU rRNA". It matches the Rfam family "Bacterial small subunit ribosomal RNA", at positions 287 to 886 of the family's 1533-position model. Lineage: Bacteria; Bacillati; Actinomycetota; Actinomycetes; Micrococcales; Jonesiaceae. The record is from RNAcentral.